AGCCAAUCCAAAGACAAACGCAGCAACUGCAGGCUCAGCAGAGCUCAUUCCCCUGCCCAAAUACGUGGAGCUGUUGCUGCUGAAAUACCUGAAUAGCGUGUGCCAGCCAAGGAGACCUGGGAUGCCAAAAGUAACAUUGGAAGGGUGUGUAAAUGAUCCAACCUGUGGGAAUCACCCCUCAUCAGGCCAGAGGCUCGUCCAGCUCCGUUACAGAGCUCCUGUAAAACCUGGAGUUUGCCUGCGGUGCAAAGUAUCAGGGUGCAAUGCACCCCCUCCUCCUCCUCCUCCCAGACCCUUCCCAGGGAACAGGUUCCCUCUUCCCAGACCCUUCCCAGGAAACAGGUUCCCUCUUCCCAGACCCUUCCCAGGAAACAGGUUCCCUCCUCCCAGACCUUUCCCAGGGAAUAGGCUCCCUCCUCUCAGGCCCUUCCCAGGGAAUAGGCUCCCUCCUCUCAGGCCCUUCCCAGGGAAUAGGCUCCCUCCUCCCAGACCUUUCCCAGGGAACUGGAGAAGAGCCAGGAGAAGCACAAACGACGGCGUGGUUAUUGUCAUCGUCCCCCAGUAAUGAUGCUUCUGACCAUGACAUUCUGUUGAGCACCUCUAGAGCUGUUCGUUGCAUUCCAAGAUCUGCUGCUUAUUUCUAAAAAUAUACUAGUGGGUGUAAAUCUAAAGGUAUUUCAUCUUAAAUGAACUUGGGUUGCCUAAUUUCAGAUCUUUUGGAUCUAUGCAGCGGAUCUGUAAAAGCCUGAACUUCAGUAAAUACUCUCAGUGACAAAAAA
This is a long non-coding RNA of Motacilla alba alba, 779 nucleotides long. RefSeq lists it as uncharacterized. The record is from RefSeq and is a predicted model, not a curated record. Lineage: Eukaryota; Metazoa; Chordata; Aves; Passeriformes; Motacillidae. The transcript has 3 exons.